GUGAGGAAUAUUGGUCAAUGGGCGAGAGCCUGAACCAGCCAAGUAGCGUGAAGGAAGAGUGCCUUACAGGUAAUAAACUUCUUUUCUUCGGGAGUAAUGACAUCUACGAGUUAGGUGUAGAGUAAGUACCGAAAGAACAAGCAUCGGCUAACUCCGUGCCAGCAGCCGCGGUAAUACGGAGGAUGCGAGUGUUAUCCGGAUUUAUUGGGUUUAAAGGGUGCGUAGGCGGACAGUUAAGUCAGCUGUUAAAGGACCAUGCUCAGCGUGGGAAGUGCAGUUGAAACUGACAGUCUAGAGAGUACAUAAGGCAGUUGGAAUUUGUGGUGUAGCGGUGAAAUGCAUAGAUAUCAUCCAGAACACCGAUUGCGAAGGCAGGUGGCUGUACCUUAAUCGACGCUGAUGCACGAAAGCAUGGGGAGCAAACAGGAUUAGAAACCCGUGUAGUCC
Molecule: ribosomal RNA, 447 nt
Filed under: uncultured bacterium
Lineage: Bacteria
Description: partial 16S ribosomal RNA
Rfam family: Bacterial small subunit ribosomal RNA
Source: RNAcentral